Long non-coding RNA from Contarinia nasturtii (swede midge), 665 nucleotides. RefSeq lists it as uncharacterized. The record is from RefSeq and is a predicted model, not a curated record. NCBI's taxonomy places the organism in Eukaryota, Metazoa, Arthropoda, Insecta, Diptera, Cecidomyiidae. The transcript has 3 exons.
UCCUGGAGCAAGUUCAGAAUGUAUUUCGUUUAAAGGCAAAGUUAAAAGUUUCACAGAAUAUGGAGUUAAAUGAUAGAACAUACGAACAUUUUUCAGUUGUUAUCUAUGCAACGGGUUACAGAUAUGCAUAUCCAUUUUUAGAUGAUAACACUGGUAUUCGUGUCAAGAAUAAUCUCGUCGAACUGCUUUACAAGCAAAUAUUGAAUAUUGAACAAUGAACAUCCAACGAUGGCAUUUGUCGGGGCACUCAAAACAUUUAUAUUGUUAAUUACUGUUGUUACUACUUAUAUUUACUUCUAUUAUUUUGUAUUAGAUACCAUUUGGAAUGAAGCAUAACCUAAUGUACGUAUCACUUGCAGGCAUGUUUCGCAUUAAAAUUUAUCUCAAAGGCCAGAGAACUACCAUCAAUUGAUGUAAUGACGGAGAACUCAAAAACUCUAUCAACCAAAGAGAAAACUCAUAACCUAGUAUACAGUGCGACGAGUUAUCUUAGAGAAUUAUCUAGAUAAUCAAAAUUUUGCAUUAGUAUACAUCGUGAUUAAACGAUGAUUUACUGAUUCAUUCUUCAUUUGAGAAAGAUUUAAAACCACAUUUAUAUGAAUGAUAUUUUAGGAUACGUAGAAAAUACACACAUACAUUUCACACUGAAAUGUAGUUCGAUAUGA